RNAcentral lists this long non-coding RNA (1753 nucleotides) under Monodelphis domestica (gray short-tailed opossum). Its description in RNAcentral is "lncRNA (ENSMODG00000039026.1)". The record is from RNAcentral. Lineage: Eukaryota; Metazoa; Chordata; Mammalia; Didelphimorphia; Didelphidae.
AGGAGAACACGCAUUCCCUCUUGGGUCCUGGGAUUCUGUCAAACCCUCUUUAUUGCUCUAUGCUUAGAAACUUCAUGACAUGUCCUGGAACUCUGGUAAGUCUGUGAUGUUAGUCCUCCAGAGGAUGGAGCUCUGGGUAUGAGGUUUGUCUGACCCACCCUGGCCUUGGCUGAGUCUGUCUGUCCCAGUCAAUGGCCAUAGGAGUUCCACACACAUAGAAAAGUCUGCAGUUCCCUGUAGGCAGAGGCUACCUCUCCACCUCUGAGGGAAAUCCAGGCUGUUGGCCCUGAUCUGCCAAGCUCUGGCUGGUCUGGAUUCUGGUUGCCAUGGAGACGCCAGCUCUGCUUUGUGCCUACAAGAAGGGAGAGCUGCUGGGUGUAUCUUGCCCACGGCUGCAGGGUCUGAAGCCUGGGAGGGGGUAAAGGCUAGUGGGGCCAGGCAGACAAGGACAUAUUACUGGCAAGCACACCCACCUUCCCUCUCACCGCUCCAACCACGAGAACCAUCAAGAUAACAGCAUGAAUCCCCAUGAACAUGGUGUCUCAACAUAAGGGCACUGACCCAGUGCAGAUCCCAGUGUCAGGGAGCAGAGCUGUGGGGAUUGGGUCUGAGAGCAACCUGUUUCUAGAGGUGGUCACAACAAGAGUCCUCAAAGAGUUUGACAUGGUGGGGAGAUCUGCUGCUUCUUCUGGAGGCUCUCCUUCCAUCUACUCUUGCAUUGAAGUAGAAAUAAUUCUGGUUCUGCUGGGGUGAAGGAAGCAAGGAAGAGAGGAAGAAAGGGAAGGGAGACAGAGAGAAGAAGACAGAAGAAACCAACAAUACAGAAUUUGAGAGGUGGCCAUCUAUUCCAACCUAUGCCUCCCUAAAACACAAUACCCAGCAAAUAUGAUCCAGACCUUGUUUAAAGAAUUGCAACCAUGAGGAGCCUACACUUCCUAAGGUAGCUUAUCCUACUCCAUCCUUGAAUAGGUUUAGUUGCUAAUGGUCUUUUCCUACAUAAAGCUCAAAUUUGCCUCUUUUACCCUCUGCCAUUGCAUUUGGCACAGUUCUUCCAGGGUCAAUCCAAACAAACCUGAUUUUUCUUCUCCCACAUGAUAGCCUUUCAAAUACUCAAAGACAGCUAUCAAGUCCUUUGGGAAAGAUGGGUCAUCCUUAAGAGGAGGCUCUUUAUUGUCCCUUAUAUAUUCCACAGGAAGCAGGAAUUGGUGAAGGGAAAGGAAUUCAUUUCACACCAUUACCAUCCCUAUCAAAACCCACAUCUGAAAUUCAUGUCUAGUCUCAUCCCUAACUAAUGUUUGCUGAUUGACAACUCCAACCCAAAUACCUAAUCCCUAAACCCAGUCCUCCAAGCAACCCCAACCCUCCUCCCCCCAACAAUCUCUUGGCCUCUCCCUAACCUGCUCCUCUCUUUGCUCUUCCUCAUAUCACCAUCCCCAUGCUCCUGGAUUAGUUUGUAGAAUUCAGGUCAGGCUGGAAAAGCUGGUCGGAGAGGGCAGGUCAGAGGAAAGGCCAUUUGAGCCAAACAUUUGAACUUUGUCAAAGGGUGAGUGUCUUUCCCCACUGUUACUUGUGUCUUUCCUGCCCAGUCUCCUAUUGUCCUAUGACUUCCAGGCAGUUAGCCAGAGCUACUUAGAGACUCCCAGGAGACUUUAUCACCCGCCUUCCCCUAGUCAGUCUUCAUCCAGCUGGCCUAGAAUUUCCCAGAUAUGGGGUAGGGAUCCAGGCUGGCCACUGUGCUGUACAGGUUGUAGCU